Molecule: transfer RNA, 77 nt
Filed under: Thalassospira alkalitolerans
Lineage: Bacteria; Pseudomonadati; Pseudomonadota; Alphaproteobacteria; Rhodospirillales; Thalassospiraceae
Also listed under: 4 other names
Description: tRNA-Asp
Rfam family: tRNA
About the family: Transfer RNA (tRNA) molecules are approximately 80 nucleotides in length.
Source: RNAcentral
GGGGGCGUAGCUCAGUUGGUUAGAGCGCCGGCCUGUCACGCCGGAGGUCGCGGGUUCAAGUCCCGUCGCUCCCGCCA